Long non-coding RNA from Fundulus heteroclitus (mummichog), 240 nucleotides. RefSeq lists it as uncharacterized. NCBI's taxonomy places the organism in Eukaryota, Metazoa, Chordata, Actinopteri, Cyprinodontiformes, Fundulidae. The record is from RefSeq and is a predicted model, not a curated record. The transcript is spliced from 3 exons.
AGAGAAAGAGAGAGAGAGAGCACGGAAGAUCUAGCCCAUCACCUUUCCGUCUCUGGUUGUGUCUGUCCCGUCCCCCCCUGCUGCGGCCUCUCCUCUCUGCUCCCGUGCUGGCCUUCAUUUCACAGAUGACAGAGGAACCUCAUACAACCCCCUGCCAGCCUGACAUUUCAGAGAGAGGAGCGGAGGCUACAGAAGGAGAAAAGGAGCUAGAGUGCAGCCUAUACAUACAUAUAUAACUCU